Molecule: long non-coding RNA, 1308 nt
Organism: Mauremys reevesii (Reeves's turtle)
Lineage: Eukaryota; Metazoa; Chordata; Testudines; Geoemydidae
Exons: 3
Source: RefSeq, a predicted model, not a curated record
UGUAGGGUCAUUCUGCUUAAGUCUUGUGUUUGUGGAUUGAAGAGACACACACAGACUAUGGACAAAGGCUAUGGUGGAGUUUGGCUAAUUUGUUUUCUUCCACCUAUAUAAGAAUAUCCUACAAACAAAUCUGAAACUCUAGUGGGGGUAUUUUAUUUUCACUGGGUCUCCUGUGAAGCCCCAGGCACAUGAACCUGGCUUUGCUUGGUAAGAGUUUAGAACAGAGAUACAGACUGGGCUGGAUUCCCUCAGCAGACAGCAACUGGAAUUUUCUUCCUUUGUUUACCUUCAAAGAAGCCAGGCUUAGGGAGCCUAGCAGAGACAACAACCUUCAAAAAUCAAGGCCAGUUUUUUCCAAAAUGGUUGCAGUUGCUGGGAUCUUCUCAUUGCUUCCAUUCCGUGGCAAACAGAGAGAGAGCGAGCAUGCACCCCAUCCCAGAAGAGUGUAAGUCAUCCAGGACUACUUUUCUUUGUCAUCUUUGGGAGUGAGUUCCAGAGUCAUGGGCUGAUUGCUGAAAAUCUUCUGUCUCCUGUACUCAGAAGCCUCACACCUGAGGACAGCUGUUCCAUUAUUCCACAAGAACUUAGCUGUUGUGGAAAGUCAUGCUCAUGCAGGGUGAAGCAGUUCCCUGGGGUAACUUGAUAUAGAGGCAUUUGAAGAUGAAGUCUAACACCAUCCAUGAGGAGCCACGGCAGAGAUCAGAACACAGACAAGGUGAUUGGCUGCUAUGUUGUGAACCGACCAGCGCUUGCUAAAGCAUCAGGACCCCAAGGGGCUUCCAGUCGAAGCACAAGACAAGAGAGAACAGAAAGAUACAGACCCAGGGGAGCAGAAGGAUGUUAGAUAUUGUACAGCCAUAAAGACAGGUACCAUUCCUGUCCCGAAGAGCUUACAAUGUGAUAAUGAAGAGAGAGAAUUUUUGUAAGCAAAUUGUAUUUGGAACAACUUGCAAAUCCAUCACAAAGUCACAACGUCCACCACAACUGGCACUAACUGGCCCCAGUGCUGGCCGUCUUAGCAGAGAGGCCAAAGACUGAAUAAGCCAUAGAGACUGAACUGCUUUAAAAGUAGGCUUGGAAGGAUGGGAUAGGUCGGUAAAUGUCAAUUUCACUGCGCACGCACACACAAACCGGUGACAAUGUAUUUCCAUCGACGAUAAUCUUACUUUGCCUGUAUGUAAAUUUUGGAGAAUGCUACUUGGGAACCUAUCAGAGUUUGACUUAAGGCUAUUUACUUUGAAUAUUUUGACAUGUGAUGUUGGCCAUUUGUGUUUUGAUGGUUAUAAAACUUUAACUUUUGGAACUCCA